GACGAACGCUGGCGGCGUGCUUAACACAUGCAAGUCGAACGGAAAGGCCCUGCUUUUGUGGGGUGCUCGAGUGGCGAACGGGUGAGUAGCACGUGAGUAACCUGCCCUUGACUUUGGGAUAACUUCAGGAAACUGGGGCUAAUACCGGAUAGGAGCUCCUGCUGCAUGGUGGGGGUUGGAAAGUUUCGGCGGUUGGGGAUGGACUCGCGGCUUAUCAGCUUGUUGGUGGGGUAGUGGCUUACCAAGGCCUUGACGGGUAGCCGGCCUGAGAGGGUGACCGGCCACAUUGGGACUGAGAUACGGCCCAGACUCCUACGGGAGGCAGCAGUGGGGAAUAUUGCACAAUGGGCGGAAGCCUGAUGCAGCAACGCCGCGUGCGGGAUGACGGCCUUCGGGUUGUAAACCGCUUUCGCCUGUGACGAAGCGUGAGUGACGGUAAUGGGUAAAGAAGCACCGGCUAACUACGUG
RNAcentral lists this ribosomal RNA (468 nucleotides) under uncultured bacterium. RNAcentral describes it as "partial 16S ribosomal RNA". It matches the Rfam family "Bacterial small subunit ribosomal RNA", at positions 28 to 507 of the family's 1533-position model. The record is from RNAcentral.